UCCUGAGUAAAGUGGCGCACGGGUGAGUAACGCGUAGAUAACCUGUCUUCAUGUCUGGAAUAAUACGCCGAAAGGGGUACUAAUACCGGAUAUUCUUGCUUUUUCAUAAGGUAUGCAAGCAAAGGUGGCCUCUGCAUAUGCUACUGCAUGAAGAGGGGUCUGCGUACCAUUAGCUAGUAGGUGGGGUAAUGGGCCUACCUAGGCGACGAUGGUUAGCGGGUCUGAGAGGAUGAUCCGCCACACUGGCACUGGAACACGGGCCAGACUCCUACGGGAGGCAGCAGUGAGGAAUAUUGCGCAAUGGGGGAAACCCGUGACGCAGCGACGCCGCGUGAGUGAGGAAGGCCUUCGGGUCGUAAAGCUCUGUCAAGAGGUAAAGAAGUGUACUAAUGGCUAAUACCUGUUGUAUUUGACGGUACCUCUAAAGGAAGCACCGGCUAACUCCGUGCCAGCAGCCGC
Molecule: ribosomal RNA, 459 nt
Filed under: uncultured bacterium
Lineage: Bacteria
Description: bacterial SSU rRNA
Rfam family: Bacterial small subunit ribosomal RNA
Source: RNAcentral